RNAcentral lists this unclassified non-coding RNA (320 nucleotides) under Hevea brasiliensis (rubber tree). Lineage: Eukaryota; Viridiplantae; Streptophyta; Magnoliopsida; Malpighiales; Euphorbiaceae. The record is from RNAcentral.
AUUUUAUUUUCCUUUAUUGAAAAUGUGAUUCCGCUUGAAAUUAAUGCUGGGAUUGUUGUGAUGGGUACAAUUGAUCUUCAUAUCAUCACCACCACUCGAUUUUGAUAUGACUGUGCCAUUACAUUCUAAUGGAAAAUGAAUAUGUACCUCACAACUGAUUCAAUUUUGUAAUUAGGAUCUCUUUGGUUAAGUUAAUUAAAAAUUUGUUUAGAAGCUGGCCGUAACUAUUGAAUUCCAUCAUUUUUUUGCGUCUACUUUUGCACAAUGGUUUAUUAAAGAAAAUCUCUUGUAUUUGGCAUAUAAAUGAGCAUCCAUUAGAU